Molecule: microRNA precursor, 59 nt
Filed under: Pelobates cultripes (western spadefoot toad)
Lineage: Eukaryota; Metazoa; Chordata; Amphibia; Anura; Pelobatidae
Source: RNAcentral
AUAUACACACUCUGCAUUAUAUACACAGAGUCUGUGUAUAUAAUGUAGAGUGUGUGUUU